AACACCUUAGCAGGCCUGCCACAGUCUGCUGUAAGACUGAUCCUCCAAGGAUGCUGAGCCCUGGCUAGGGAAACCCCAUCCUCAGUUGUGGUGUCCCUAGAUUCAGUUAUAAAUCUCUCCUUAUCACCAGUCUGUGCCAUUAUGAUUCACUGCCUGCCUGCCUUCCUGCCUCUCUCUCUCUCUCUCUCUCUCUCUCUCUCUCUCUCUCUCUCUCUCUCUUCUUUCUUUCUUUCUUUCUUUCUUUCUUUCUUUCUUUCUUUCUUUCUUUCUUUCUUUCUUUUGUUCCAAACCAAAAAAAAAAGAAAGAAAGAAAAAGAAAAAGAUUUCUUCUCUCAGGUUCUUGGUUUCCUUGCUGACAGAAUGAAAUUUUUUAUGUCAUCUUAAAUUUGGCGGUUAUUACCCUAUUACCUAUGGAAACUACUGUAAAGACCUCACUCAGCUGUCAUCAGAUCCAGCCGUAGGCAUCAUUUGUGCCACGAAAGGUGGCCCCAGUGCUCAGCUUGGAAAAAAAUGGCCCCUGCUUGGCUCUGCAAAUGACUCCCACUGAAGCCUUGGAGAGCUGAGGACGUGACACGAGACGUUAAGGAGCUGUAAAGGGAAUGGUGACUGAGAAUUUCUUGUGGAAAUGUGGUACUGCUUCUGAUUUGAUGGUGAUGGAGUCAGCAGGGCCUUCUCUGUGAAUGGCGGGAGUAGCCCAGGCACCCAGGGUCUGUCUGUCUACAGGGAGUCUGAGCAAGGCUGUGCCUUUUCCCUGCAGCUUCUGGUUUAUAGAUUUUCAGUUCUUUCGUCUAGCCCUUUCUCUGCAUCUAAACUGCAUCCUGGUUGCCACCGACCACGGCUGUGCUAUGUACUGAGGCCAGGCCAAGCCGGCAGUUGCCUCCUGGCUGAUUGUUUGGCUAGUUGAGGUUACAAUAGUGCGGCUUUGAAAGUUUAUCCCUCCCCUUCUCCUCUCUUCCCCUCUUUUCCUCUCUUCCUCUUUCUCAUCUUCUCCCUACUUUCCAAGAUCCUAUAGCCUCGAGGUUUCCUGCCUAGUACAUAGUCCCAAUCUAGGCAUUACUAAUUUCUUUACACUACUACAAUUAAAGCUUGGGAUAGUGUUCUCAGAAUACAUGACAAGUGACCUAAUGACAUAAGACUAUUUAUUCUGUCAUCCAUUCGAUUUUUGUCUUAUUUUCUUUUAAUCUAUUGUUUGCUUUUAUUGCAUUUAUAGGGGAGGGGACCUGUAAGAGCCUCCCCAUGUGUCUGGAGGGCAGAAGUGGUUAAAGGUUAAGAAGUUAAGGGGCCUGGAUCUCUCCUUUCACCAAACAGAGUCUGGUGAUUGACCUCAGAUCCUCAGGCAUGGCAACAGGUGCUUGUACCCGCAGAGCCAUCUUGACGGGCCUUUCUGUUUUAUUUUAUCUAGGACACUUCACAGGAGAUGUAUCCUCUUUGCAGUAAGUGUGCAUUGGAGUAUUGCUGACCUGUAAGGAUUAGCUGGAAAGGCAGACUUCCAAAAGCAUGGGAAUGGACAGCUCUCUGUCCUUUAAGAUCCCAGUUAGGCUGGGAAGGCCCUAGACUGUGGGAAGGGCAGGAGAGCCAGUGUAGCUUGCUAGGUAGUUGGUGGUUCUGUGUUUUGUGUAUCUCUUCGCAUAGCAUUCUCCCAAGUGCUUCCCAAAUGAAAGUUCUAGGGUUUGGGGGUUGAUGCACUUAGGGAUAUGGAGAGAAUUCUCCUUUCCGUGCAUAUACUGACCUUGGUAGUCCUGCUAGGCACCCUGUUUUCUGAUUUAACAGACAGCAUCACCAAGUGUGAGAAUUUGGGGUCUGGACUUAAGUCUCUCCCUCUGAGCUCUGGGUUCUCCCAAGAGGAAAUAGUGUCUGUGCUUUUAAUUCUUGUCAAAUUUGCCUCUGACAUUUAACAGCCUUUAUAGUAUUGAAUUUUGAAGGCAUUGAUUUUUCUAUAGUAGAAAUUAUGGAUUAGAUAAUUGGUGAAAUAAGAAAAAUCCUGAUUCCAUAAUUUUCUUUUAAAAACACGCUGCCAGGAAUGGGCUUAUUUGGUAAAGAGGAAAGGUAGUGGGGUGGGCCUUCCUGCUGUCCAUCUGUCCCUGGGGUGGGCCUUCCCGCUGUCCGUCUGUCUCUUGGGUGGGCCUUCCUGCUGUCCAUCUGUCCAUGGAUGAGAACCUGCACCCUUCCUUGAGUACUUGCUGAGAGCAAAUGCCUGUCGAUCCCCACCCCUUUCUUACCCCGUCUUCUGCUCUUUGUAUGUGAAACCUAUUCCUGUCUGUACCAAAUGAGCUGUCUGUCCUGACACACUGCCCAGGGGCUCUUGCUAUUUGAAUCUGCAAGUAAAAUUAAGUUCACUUUGACUAACCCAAUUUUACCACAUAAAAGGGGGUGUGUCUGGUAGAGGCAUUAGUGCUUGUUCACCUGUUAUGAUGGUUGGCCUAAUGAGCCCUGGCUAUUUCCAUGUUAGGAAAGUCAUACACAAUUUAGUAGAAUGUAGAACUCACAUUUUGAAUUUUGAACAUUGCCCAAGGUAUAAACAUAUAUAACACAGUCGUCUUUUGUAGCAAGCCCUGUUUUCAGUCAGCCCCUGGCUCCCCAAGGAAGCCACGGACACCACACUGCAUUGUGUGGCUAAACUGGGAGCUGGUAGUCUGUGUGUAUGGAAUAUAUUCCAGUUUAUGCUAAUUUGUAGUAACCACACUCUAAGUAUUGAAAAGUGUGUGUAUUUCCAUAAUGCUCAAAACUAGUUUCUGAAGCCAGUUUAAUGUCACUUAGCUUUUAAAGCUAGCUAUUAUAAUUGCUUGUACAAGUUUGUGUCUGCAUUCAUUUUUUUUUUCAAAGACUCUGAAAGAAAUACCUCAAGGAAGUAAAAGUCUUCAGGUCUGGCUCACUGAUUCUGUCCAUGAGUUGUCUGUGAGAUAUCAGUCAGUAAUGACAAUAACAUAAAGGGUUAAAUUAUUUCAAGAAUGAUGUCACUCUCAAAUCUU
This 2969-nucleotide long non-coding RNA is filed under the name Mus musculus (house mouse). RNAcentral describes it as "long non-coding RNA chr7:134952120-134955089". Lineage: Eukaryota; Metazoa; Chordata; Mammalia; Rodentia; Muridae. The record is from RNAcentral.